RNAcentral lists this transfer RNA (74 nucleotides) under Patescibacteria group bacterium. RNAcentral describes it as "tRNA-Ala". It matches the Rfam family "tRNA". Rfam says of the family: Transfer RNA (tRNA) molecules are approximately 80 nucleotides in length. Their secondary structure includes four short double-helical elements and three loops (D, anti-codon, and T loops). Further hydrogen bonds mediate the characteristic L-shaped molecular structure. tRNAs have two regions of fundamental functional importance: the anti-codon, which is responsible for specific mRNA codon recognition, and the 3' end, to which the tRNAs corresponding amino acid is attached (by aminoacyl-tRNA synthetases). tRNAs cope with the degeneracy of the genetic code in two manners: having more than one tRNA (with a specific anti-codon) for a particular amino acid; and 'wobble' base-pairing, i.e. permitting non-standard base-pairing at the 3rd anti-codon position. The record is from RNAcentral.
GGGCCCAUAGCUCAGUUGGUUAGAGUGUCGGUAUGGCAUACCGAAGGUCGUGGGUUCGAGCCCCACUGGGUCCA